UUUCCGUUGGUGAACCAGCGGAGGGAUCAUUAUUCAGUUUUUCUACUCCCAAACCCCUGUGAACUUAUACCUUAACUGUUCCUUCGGCGGGUUAACGCCCCGGAAGGCGCAAAAAGCCGCCGGAGCCAGGUGCCCGCCGGGGGACCCAAACUCUUGUAUUUCUUACCUUGCAUGUCUGGGUGUGAUCAUAAACAAAUGAAUCAAAACUUUCAACAACGGAUCUCUUGGUUCUG
RNAcentral lists this unclassified non-coding RNA (233 nucleotides) under plant metagenome. Its description in RNAcentral is "partial contains small subunit ribosomal RNA, internal transcribed spacer 1, and 5.8S ribosomal RNA". The record is from RNAcentral.